GACGAACGCUGGCGGCGUGCUUAACACAUGCAAGUCGAACGAACUCGACCUUCGGGUCAUAUGAGUUAGUGGCGAACGGGUGAGUAACGCGUGAGAAACCUGCCCUAGAGUUUGGGAUAACCAAAGGAAACUUUGGCUAAUACCAGAUAUUCCCUUACCUUCGAAUGAAGGUUUGGGAAAAGAUUUAUCGCUUUGGGAUGGUCUCGCGACCUAUCAGCUUGUUGGUGAGGUAAUGGCUCACCAAGGCAUCGACGGGUAACUAGUCUGAGAGGAUGAUUAGUCACACUGGAACUGAGACACGGUCCAGACUCCUACGGGAGGCAGCAGUGGGGAAUAUUGCACAAUGGGCGAAAGCCUGAUGCAGCGACGCCGCGUGGGGGAUGAAGGCCUUAGGGUCGUAAACCCCUUUCGCUAGGGAAGAAAAUGACGGUACCUAGAGAAGAAGCUCCGGCCAACUACG
This 460-nucleotide ribosomal RNA is filed under the name uncultured Acidimicrobiales bacterium. RNAcentral describes it as "bacterial SSU rRNA". It matches the Rfam family "Bacterial small subunit ribosomal RNA", at positions 28 to 505 of the family's 1533-position model. The record is from RNAcentral. Lineage: Bacteria; Bacillati; Actinomycetota; Acidimicrobiia; Acidimicrobiales.